UUGGGGCUCAGUUUCUCUGGGGGUGAGACUCGUGUGCCCUUGGGUUGGGGCUCAGUUUCAGCUUCUGCGACGGUGCCGGGCCCUUGCCCUUUCCUGGCCCCUGCUGCUUUGUGGGGUCUCUCAGGGCCCCCAAAGACUUCAGCGGAUGAAGGUCUGCAGGGACUGGGCAGGAAGGAGGCAAGGCCACACUCCCUGGUCCCGAAGCUCAGAGUGAGGUCUGAGCCUGCGGACGUGGAGGCCCUGCGCCCCAAUCUCACCCUGUGCCUCAGCUUCUCCCAAAAGCAGCAGCACUUUCCAGCACUCCUUGGAGCAGGACGCCGGCUUCCAUAUCCCAGCUAAGGGCAUUGCCCCAGCUGCACAGAUAAGGAGGAUGGGGAAACUGAGACACAGAGGGAGCUGUCCUCAAGGAGAGCACCAAAACACCCUCAUGUUACAGAUGGGGAAACUGAGACACAGAGGGAGCUGUCCUCCAAGGAAGGCACCAAGACACCCUCAUGUUACAGAUGGGGAAACUGAGGCACAGGGAUGGGUCUGGAAACUGCAAGUGGAGGGGCCCCUGUGGCCUCAUCCCAGCGCACACCCUCACAAGGCAGUCCCCCCGAGACAGGGGCACAGCCCACAUUACAGGAAGGAGACUGAGGCCCCAGACCCAGUGACGGGGAAGGGGAACCCUGGGCAUUCCCCAGGGUCGGGGGUCAGGCCUCAGCCCCUUCCCAUCCUCCUCACAGCCUGGUUGAAACACAGAUGAGAUCGUAGCCUAGAGCCUGCCCUGGGCCCCUUAGA
This 783-nucleotide long non-coding RNA is filed under the name Homo sapiens (human). RNAcentral describes it as "HSALNT0387842". Lineage: Eukaryota; Metazoa; Chordata; Mammalia; Primates; Hominidae. The record is from RNAcentral.